UCAACACUAAGAACAGGAAGGGACGGAGUGAGGAGGGGUUUUUAUUUUUAUAUUUUUUAAAUUAUUUAUGUAUUUCUUUUAUAUUUUUUGGAAUUAGGAUUAAAUUGAGAUUAUUUAUAGAUUUUAAGGGUUAUUUUUAAAAAAAUUUAACUGUUAUGUCCCAUUAUACCCUUCUUAACAGUACUUAAUGGAAAUGGACAAAAAAAAAUCUCG
Molecule: long non-coding RNA, 213 nt
Filed under: Gossypium raimondii (Peruvian cotton)
Lineage: Eukaryota; Viridiplantae; Streptophyta; Magnoliopsida; Malvales; Malvaceae
Description: long non-coding RNA (GRAI_LNC004158)
Source: RNAcentral